UGAUUCCCUGAUGUCUCAGAGCCUCACCUCCAUCAAGCUGGCCUGUGACUAAGCUGGUGGGGACUGAGUCCACAGACUAAUGCACUUGGUGCUUUCGGGCUGAAGGGGAAGAAGCUGGACCAGGAGGAACCGUGCUGAGUUCGUGUUUUUCUGGGAGUAAAGUCUCCUCUUAAGAAGAUGGAGAAACUGAGUCCAGAGGUGUGGGAUGAUUUACCACAGCAUUGGCCUCUUAUCAGGGCAGCCCCAGGAUUCGGCUUCCCCGUGUUAUGGGUGAUGGAUAGCAGACGAGAUCUCCGAAGAGCAGACAAUUCGAGGCGGCUUAGGUACGCUUGAGUUUUGGAUGCAAGUAAGGAGCUUGUCGGUGUGAAAAUCCUGGGGCGGCUCCGAGUCGCCCAAGAGCAUCCUGUGAGAACCUGUACAUCAUCUCCACCUUUCCCCCUGAGAAAGGUGUUGGUCUAAUACUGUGCUUCGGACGCCCCAGUGACACGGAUGCCUUGCUCUUCCUGGGAAAGCCACGUCACAGCUGCAGGGGCCUGUCCACGUCGUUCCUCUAGCUGUUUAGUCUGAAUGUUUCCCCUUCUCAGUUUUGAUUUGCAGGUCCCUAAUGAUUAGCAUCUCUUCGAGUGCUUAUUGGCCUUUCGUAUGUCUCUCCUUUCGAGAAGUGCGUAUUCAAGUCCUUUGCUCACUUUUC
Molecule: long non-coding RNA, 691 nt
Organism: Acinonyx jubatus (cheetah)
Lineage: Eukaryota; Metazoa; Chordata; Mammalia; Carnivora; Felidae
Exons: 3
Source: RefSeq, a predicted model, not a curated record